This is a non-coding RNA of Rattus norvegicus (Norway rat), 26927 nucleotides long. The record is from RefSeq and is a predicted model, not a curated record. Lineage: Eukaryota; Metazoa; Chordata; Mammalia; Rodentia; Muridae.
GGCACCACCAAGCAUGGGCAUUUGAGCUAACCCGUAUGUGGGAGACGAGCCUGCAUUAGUAGGACGGCUGCAGGGUAGCUUGGCUCCCUGAGUUUCCAACCAAGCUGCUGCACAUUUCAGUUCUGAGUGGAUUUCGUGGUGCUGGACACUGAAGCUAGAGCAUACUAAGUAAGCAUCCAAUCACUGAGCUGUGCCUUCCGCCGGAGCCAGGCUGUAACCUGUUUAUGAAUUUGCCAGUGCUCACUAGAAUGUGGAAAUAGUCUACACUGUUUAAAUUCCCCUUGCUUGCUAUGAAGUUGGUGUGGAAACAAGAUCAUUGAAGAAGGAGAAAUUGCUGGUACGUGUGUGCAGAUGUACUUGUUUAUGAAUGUAGCAUACAAUGUAUACUUGCAUAUGAGUGUAUUAAUAUUAAUCUUAGUUCCCUUUAUCCAAGUAUGCAAGGAUAAUGACAUUUUAAGUUCAUCUGAAUGACUCUUCUAAAGUAAUGGGAAAUUCAGACUCAGCCACUGGUGUCUACUUUCUGUUCUCCUACUUGUAUAACAACCCCGGAGUCUUAUUAAGUCCUGCAGCUUUUAAGGGAGGUCACUCUAGUCACCCAAUGUGGGUCCAUAUUGUUUUCCAUUAAAGCACUAGCCAGUGGUUAGCACCCAAGUGCUUCAUAUACUGGGCAGCUCAGCUGUAAAUUCCCCAUUCUUUAGAGAAGAGAGCCUUGAGGGAAGUUGGGAGGAGCCUGCUUCUCUGUAACCAAAAGCCUGUGAACUCUUACAGAAUUCUCAGUGCAUUGGAACUUAUUGUCUUUAUAGUAACAUGCUGUAGCAGACCAAUCCAAAAUGGUAACCUGAAGUCGUAAGUGGCUAUUUGGGUGCUUGAACUGUGGCUAGUACCAAAAGGAAUUUAGCUUUAUUUUCCUUUUGGGACAGGCUUUUACUAUGUAGACCAGGCCUAUUUCACAGGAACUCACCUGCCUCUGCCUCCCAAGUGCUGGGAUUAAAGGCAUGUGCCACGGUGCCUGUCUAGGAAUUGAUGUUUUAAUUGCUCUGAAUUUGAGGUUUAAGAGCAACUAUUGCAAUGAGCAGUACAUCUCAGGGUGGGGACUGCCACAUACCUGUUCGUAGAUGUCCUUCUUUUUUGGUUCUCUGGUCAACUAGAAGGCAUCUCUUUUCCUUUAUUAAAAUACAUUCUAUCUCUUAAGAUAGGAAUUAUCGCUAUGAUGAUAUUAAUUUCCAAAAGACUAAGAUUCUCAAAUCUAUUGUUUGCUGCAUUCUCCCAAACUACUUAAAUGUCAAGGGGGAAGGCUACCAACAUUAAACUGAGAAAAAGAAAAAGGAAAAAGAAAAGAAACAAGCACCAGUUAAUAGUUUAAAACAUCGGCACAUUACAGUGAUAUAGGCUUAGUGUGUGCCAACCCUUCAUAUAAGCUUUCCUCUAGAGCAAGAGUAGUACUCUGCAGUUUGCCAAAACAUUGACUAGCUCACAUGGCUGACUAUGCUGCUUCCUUGCUCUGGAAGCAGUCAGGCAAAGCUUGAGAAAGUGAUCCAGUGGGACCUGAGGGUGGGUCACAGUUUGUUUUGUUGAAUGCUCUACAAGGCAAUGCAAUGUGGUUUACAGACAUUGCUUAUGUCUUGGCCAAGAGCAGAGCUUCUGAUAGUUUCUUUCUUGGUCAUGUUUUUAAGCAUGCAUAGAAGAAUAUCCAAAUGAGUCAUUUGCAUAUGGUCACUUUGGUAUAUUAUCAGAGUAUAUUAAUUAGAAUUGCUUUAUAGUUAGCUUUUUAUCUACUAAUAGAAGAACUCAACCUUCAAGGCACAUUAGCAUUCUAAAUUGCAGAGUGGGUAAUGGGCAGACAUUAAUAGAGGAAAAUUAAUCCCUUGAUAAAACUGAUCUCAAUACUUCAGCAGCUACCUUAUCAGAUGUACAAGCGUCUACAUUGCCUGGUCUUUUCUUUGAAGAACAAUUGAAUUAACAGCUGUUGUGGUUGAUUUCCAGGCCACCUUCUACUCUAAUUCAGAAUGAAAUAGAUGAAUUAUUGGAACCAUCCUGUAUAUAUCUGACUCCUUCAGAUUUAGCCUUUCUUUUGUCUUCUACUUGAGGAUGGUCCCAUAACUUUUUUUCUUUCUGGGUGCUGAGAAGUCUCUAAGUCUCAGCCUGCUUUUCUUCUCUCGAUUACAAUUGCUUCCCCAGGCUUGUUAUAAGUAAAUGCAUCUCGGUUAGUUUGUAAUGUCUUUAGGCUACCCUCUGCCCAUCCUCUAGUAGUCUUAAAUCUAAUGCCUUGGCCUCCCCAGUAGAACACACCACUCCUAUGUUCCUCUCUAGACUUAGAGAGAACAGUUACCAUUUCCUGACCGAUGGCUUGGAUCCUUCCAUCCAAAACCCUGCGUGGUUUGCCUUCUGAAUCCCCUGCAGGUUAUUAACAGUGCAGCCCACUGUUAUUUUCCAGUUACUCCUGGUAACUUAAUUUUAGAUUACUCCAAGUUUCUGAGAUGUUGCUUUUAGACGAUGAUAUUUUGUUUUAAUUUUAUGUACUUUUUAAGGGUAUACUAACUCUAUACAAUAGCUUGGUGUUUUUGAACAUUUUAUGGCCACAAAGAUCCAUUCUGAUUAUAGGCCUCCCCUCUACAUUACUCUCUCAUUCCAGCUCUCUCCUCUCUGUUUUUUGUCCAUUUCUCAAAUAGUCCCUUUCUAUUCUCUUGUCUUUCCUUUUCAAAUCUAGAUUACACGUUUGAAAGGAAACAUGAGAUAUCAGUUUCUCCGAGUCUUGCUUAUUCUGUCCAACAUAGAUGAUCUCCAUGUCUUUCAUCUUCUUGAAAAUGACGUAUUUUUGUUCUUAUUUAUGGAUGAAUAACACUCCCAGAACAUUUUCCUUAUCUACUCAUCUGUUGGGAGGUAGACUGAUUCCACCUCUUGACUAAUGUGAAUAUGUAAAAAACACAGCUGAGUAGCAAUCUCUGUGGUAGGCUGACCUAGAUCCCUCAGGGAAUGUACCCAGGAGUGCCGUAUCUGGAUCAUGAUCUCGGUGGCUAGUGCUGUCAACUUGACAAAUCUGGAGUCUCUUGGGAGGGAGACUUACUUUGAAUGUGCCUGGAGGGUGUUACCUUGCUUAUCUUAAUUGCUGUGAGGAGAUAUGCCCACUGUGUGUGUCACCAGUUCCUGUCCUGGGCAGAGAAUCCCGAAUGUAAGAGUGAAGAAACUGAAGUGAGCACUUGUAUGUAUGCAUUCAUUCACUUCUCGCUGCUCUCAACCAUGGCUGUGAUGCACCCCGCUGCUUCAGUCCCUGCUGUGUUGACUUCCCCACAAUGAUGGAUUGCACCCUGGAACUGUGAGCCAAGUAAACCAUUUCUAUCUUUAGUUGCUUUUGUCGGGGGUUUUUAAUCAUGGCAAUCAGAAACAGAACUAAAACAGGAAGAGACACUUAGAGUCUUGGCUUAAUAAUUCCUCCAUGGCUGUCAUUUGCAUAGGCCACCUCCGCGACAAGUCACAGGUUGAGACCCUCUAGAGUGGGUAUUUGUGGGAUCACUGCAGGUGGCAUGCACUACGAGACAGGGUUUGAGUGUUGAAAUGCCAGACUUUCGGGAGGAUUGAACAUAGCACACCUGAAGUCAGAAAACAUGAUCCAUGACUGUCACAGUUCUCGGGGUGCUGUCACUCAAGAGCCUAUGCCAACAUGAGCAGUCUCCACAGAACAUAGCCAUAAAUCCACACCAUGAAUGUCCGUGAAGGCCUCUUUCCUGAGCUGUGGAAGACUGAAGUUGGGUCACCUGUUCUGACUUGGAGUGCUCAUGUCCAGUGCAAACUCCUCAUGACAUUCAGGCCUCUCACAGUGUGGCACCUGAUCUUAUGGGAUCCAGGUGUCUGUAUGGUUGACAGGUUUUCUAAGAUUUUUAUUUUUAGCUGGUUAAUAACUAACUAGUUGACUGAUAAAAAACUAUUAUGUAACUAGUCACGCUGAUUAUAAACCACAUUUCGACUGCAGAAACAUGGAAACACUGUGGAAAUGCAGCAUCACAUUUUUCUAGAAAGCGUACUCAGAAUUUAGCCAGGCCCUGGCUGCCCCAGGGGAAAUGCCAGGAUCUCUUUCUGUUCUGGGAUGAGCCAAUUAAGCUAUCUGAUAGAAGAGUCUUUCCAAGGCCCUUCAAAUGACAUUGUGUUGGUUUUUAUCUCCCAGUCUCAGAUGUAAGUAAGCCUUUUCCCCCAAGUUCCUUAGAGACUAACAUGAUCUCUUCACAUUGAGAGCUAAAUAUGGAGUCGCAGAAUGGAGUAACGUACCCUGCCAAAGCGGCCUUCUAAGAAGUUCAGCAGCAAGGACAACCCACAGCAGUGCUUAGCCUCUGCUCUCCUUCGAUGGACUCAUGGGUCACGGGCUUCCUCCCCACCCUCCCGCUCUGAGCCUUCCCACAGAUGCAGCCCUGAACCAGACAAUUGCUUUCCUUUGAAGCACAUAAAGUCCCGAUGAACACAGCCAUGUGAAGUCUCCAGUGUAGAUAAAUUUGUCACUAGCAGCUCUUACGUCUCCCAUCCAGUUCCUUGGGGGAAAACAGCAAGGUAAACAGGCCUUUUGUUAUUUUUCUAGAAAAUAGUUCUUUGGAAAAAAUAUCACACAUCCCUAUCCCGCUCAUCUCCCUGUCCCUUCAUAUCAGCCCUCUACCCUCGUACUCCCAACCCCCGAAAAGAAAAUAAAAAGCAAAAAAUGGAAAGAUAAACAAAACACUAAAAACAUCUCGUUGUGGAAGCUGUAGUAUGUGCGCCCCUCAGUACAUCCUUUUGUCCACACUUCUUUACCUGCAAAUGUUCAUUGCAACGACUCCUUGGUCUGCUUCAAGCCCUCUGGCUUCUGCUAUAGCAUCUCUUGGAUAUCUCGUUGUUGCACUGCGUCAUGGAGAUCCUGCAGCAGGAUCCCUUUCACACACUCUAGCAAUUCAUGGGUGAGGUAGAUGUUGGGGUGGGCCAACUCAAAACCCUGAAUCUUGGCCUGAGGGGUAGCUGAAUUGAUCCGCCCAGCAGCCCUCCCACACCCACGAAGGCAAAGUGAGAUCUCCAGCACUACCCUGGCUCGCUCACCCAGUGCUGUGGCUGACAAGGGGGCGGGCAGGCUCUCCCUUGGUCCCAUCCUCGCUCCCCUGAGCUUCUGCUACCAGGGCUGCGUCUACUGGGCUGCCCAGGUGAGGUGGCAGCCCUGACACUUGAUACUCCAGUUGUGGCCCGCUCUCCAGAAUGCCACAGCAGGUGAGGGGCAGGGCCAGCUUGUCACAGCUCUUGGACAUCACCAUGGUCCCAGGGGGCAACCCAGACCAGGGAUGUCCACAUGGUCUUCAGCGGCAAUAUCCCCACGGACAUCGACCCAGACCCCUGCUGCUGCAUGACCACGGACUCAGACGUGGUCCUCAGCAGUAGCGUGUGGCAGUACAGGCUACUCAAAACAGGCUGUGCUUCUCCACUCUCGAAUCUCCAUCUCUGUCUUCAUAAUGCUCAAACUGUUCCACUUCUCCUUCUCUGCCCUGUGCCCACCACAUAUUUAGACACUGUAGUGGCUCCAGCUAUGGGUGGGCCAAGUUACUGCUGGGACUCUGAGUGUCUUCCUCGACCUGAACCUUGUCGUUUUGUCAUUGUGAAUGUCUUUGAAGGCAAAACCGCCCAUGGUUCCAGUCACUGGCUUCCUGAAGAUGCCCUCCUCAAACCCCCCACAAAGAUUCUGGGGGCAGAGAUCUCAGGGACAUAGAAAAUAGGGUUCCCUCUCUCCAAAGUUCUAGUCUAGGAGACAAAAGUUUAUCACAAACGAGCCCAUGACACCCCACAGGAAAACUCAGAAGACAUUGGUUCACAUUCUGUCUUACUAUUAAUAGCUGUGACUCCAGUUGGGUUGAGUCUACCAUGAGAAAAGAGAACUCAUUCACGGAAGUGGAGGAUCAUGGGUAGCACUUCAGGGUUAGCGUCUGGAUCCAGGUAAAGACAGCAAUGGGAGAAACUUCGUCCAGUAUGGCAGGCAGCCGCAGAGGACUGUUGGCUGGACUGUUAUCUUAGAGAUAAUGUCUUAAACCUUCUUUACCUCUUAGUUAGUAUAUCAUGCUCCACCUCACCACUGAGACAAGUUGCUUUCUCUGGCUUCUCAAAUGGAAUCGUGAGUGCUGCUUCUUCCCACGAGGCUGAAAAUAAAAUAAUGUAAACCCACUUGGUGUCAGUUCCCCCUCUGGAAUAGAGCGAAUGAAUGUAGGCUUGUAGAGAGAAGGGAUGGAGGUCCACUCAUCGCAGGAAUGAGAACAUCAAAUGUUUGAAAUUUGCACUGCUUCUCCAGGAGAUUAAUUCAUACCACCACACAGAAACUUCUGGGGAUGGAACACAUCAGAAGAAACACCCUCACUUACAAUUUAGAAUAUGUCUGAAGGAUAAUACGUCAACGGGCAUGCAUGCUAGUGGCUACCAAAGGACAUAACAUCUUAUGUAACUCCCUCUUUAAGCAAAGCAUUCUGAAUUCAAAUUCAGUGUCAAAAGAGCGAAACAUCUCUUAAUUUGCAACAUGGUGGCCCACUGCCCAUCGCGGUACAGAUCCUAACCCUGAGUAGUGAAAGGGCUCGGGCCCAGAUAAGUUUCAGUUAAUUGGGCCACGAUGGCAAAUGAUCUCAAACCUUCCAAGAAAAACAAAUGAAGAAGUAGCAGAGAUGAAAGGCCACCCCAAAGGUGAUAUAAUUGUCUAUAAAGCCAUUGUUAUGUAGGUGAUUUUUAAUGUCAGCCAUUAAAAUGUAACCAACUCUCCUGUGACAAGUGCUUUAUGUGUCGGGGUGCAAUAGACUUUGUAUAACCCACUUGUUAAAUUUCUGUUUUUCUAGAUAAAGAGCAGAAGAAAUGUUUUUCCUUCAUUUGUCCUCACCUGUCUCAUAGAAUAAGGUACUUUUGGUCAGGGAAGCAGUUGUCACAGUCAAAAAGUCGGCCAAGGUACAUUCACCGAGUAACAAUGUCCUGGACCAAUAGAGACUGAUGUGGAAGCUUCCCAGAGGGAGAAUGGGCUUCAGCCAGCAGCCUCAGUCGGCUUUAUAGGAAAUGAGUCAGGGGAAUAAAUAUACCAAUAGCACUUUCUCUUUUCCUCUGGCCAAAUCCAUCCAGAAGGAAGGGGCUGGGUAGCUCACUGCCGUCUCAUCCUCCCAGACAGAGAGCAAUGCAGACAGACAGCCUAGAGAACAAAAAGCAGACAUCUGACAUGAGAAGAGUGAUGGCGCUCUACUUCCUGUUCUGCCAAAAUGUGAGGCCAGGCGUACCAUCUGCACACAUCUGCCACCUCGGAGCAGCUUGCUGCCGUACCUACCCCUGCAUAAGGGACUGUGUCCCCUCAAACAGGGCUCACAAUUAAGAAAUGGCCUUGAGUAUCAGAAGACACACUGCGAUUUUUAAGUGAUGGGACAAUUUUUAACAAAGGACACAGUGGAAUUUUUAAACUCUGGUAAAGAACAUAGACUUUUGAAGUUGAAUUGCACGUAUUGGCAUCCUAAGAUAGCUUUGAGUCUGUGGGCAUGGGAGGUGAAUGUUAUGGUUUGAAUGUGAGAUGUCCUGUUAAGGUUCAUGCGCUUAAACACUCUGGUCCUGAGUGUCUCGGGUGGGUCUGUUUUGGAAAGUUGUGGAACCUUUAAAAGGUGAAGCCUCACCAGAGGAAGUGAAUCACUGGGCACAGGCCUUGAGAUUUUAUAAUCACCCCCCACUUCCUGUCCAUUUUAGGCUUCCUAUUUUGUAAUGGUGUGAGGCGAAGUGUCCUAGCUGCACACUUCUGUUACCAUGGAGAUGCCUGCAGCCAUGCCUUUCCCAACAAUAAGCUAUGGCUCCUGUAAGUCAAAAUUAAACUCUUCUACUUCUUGAAAACGAACAACAACCCCCCCCCCAAUUGUCCUGAGGUAGGAGAAAAAGAGGUAGCCUGGGCACAUCUGUAACCCUAGCGCUUGAGAGGCUGCAAGACAGUGUCUCAGGGCUGCAUAGUGAGUUCUAGGCCAGUCAGGGACUCACGGGGAAACUCUCUUUAAAAAAGCUAGAAGUGGGUUAAUGUGUUACCGGCUUGGGCACACAUAAUGACAUAACACAACCUGUGUGGCUUUAGAAAUAGAAAUUUUAUUUUUUCAGAGUUCUGGACGUUAGAAGAGCAGGACCCAGGUGUCAGUAGCCUUGGUUUGCCUUCCUGACUGUGUCUGCGGGUGGGUACCCCUCUAUGAGCAUGCACCCCUGAGAUCCAGUCAUACUGAAUUGGGGCCUCACUCUUUUUUUAUUACCUCAUCGAAUUAAAAUUACCUUUUCCAAGGUCCUCGCUCCGGAGACAGUCGCAUUGGAAUUUGGAGAGAGGCUGUAUAUAUAAUUCAGUCCAUAGGAACAGUUGGCUGGAGGGUUUAUACCGCUAAUGAGCUCUUUAAAUACCCGCAGUGUGUAGGCAAUUGGAGUAGCCCACAGAACUCCCCAAAGCUCCCCUUAUUUUACUUGAUUGCUACAACAAUAUUCCACCCAACCUCCUCUUCCUGGCACUGCAUGUCUAUUCCUGUCUAUCUGUCUCCAGAGACCCCGAGACCCAGGCUCUGACCUUGGUCAUUGAUUUGCCGACACCCUAUCCUGAGAACUUGACUCUAACCUGGCCCUUUGCUCAGUGCGGUGAGUAACGGAGUUCUUUCCGGCAUCAUGAAGUCACAGUCUCUGUUUCGAAUCUGGGGAGUUUGAUUUCUACCAUUUGUCCUGAGUAGAGCUAGUAGGGAUUUAUUUGUGGGAGUUUUGAUCUAGUGACGUAGUCGUGGGAAAACAGUUUUAAAUGCCAUUCUUAGUUGAGACUCGAGCUUACCUUUCUAAAAUAGAAGUUAGCAGUCAUCCAUAGUAAAUGCGUCUAACCCGGGGAAGUUCUAGGGAGGCAGGGAAAGGACACAGCAUCCUGUGUUAAGAAUCAGCAAGCAAUUGUUAUGCGACUUAACAGGGUCAAUGAGAAAGAAAUCAAGAACAACGCCACCGUUCAGAAAGAAAAGAAAAAAAGAUGUAGAAGGUUCACCGGCUGUUCAGGUAUCAGAGAAGGGAUAAUAGCAGAGACCUUCGGCUUCUCAUUAAGUCAUCCUCCUCAUUCCCAAUAAGAGGGGUGGGCUGAAGCCAGGCUGCUUGGGAGACAGGAGCUGCUUAGCGUAGCCUCUAAUAAAACGCCUUGACCAUGCUGCCUCAGAGGCUGUACACAGCUACUGUGCUAAGCUACUCAUCCUGACUUUUACUGCGUACCUUCCUUCCAUUUCAAUUGCUUGGGGUUUUUAUAGGAAAAAAAAAUUGCCUGUGGGAAUUUGACCCCUCCAACUGCCUGGUAAUAAUCUGACUUGAAUAGCAAACACAGCAUGGGUUGGUUCUGGGGCAAGCCAGAGAGCAUUCUCAGGAGGCUAUGGGAGGGGCUGCUCUGGGAUGCACAGACAGCGAGAAAUUUAUCUCCGAAAAAAUGACGCUAUUUGUGAGAAUUUGUGCUAUUUAUGUCGUAGUGGGAAAACUUAGAAAUGUCACUCAUACCAAGGUUUGAAGCCAAUUUGUUUAAAAUAGCAGUCGGCUUUGAUAUAAAGGCUUUUACCAUCAACCAGUGGGCGUAUGGAGGUGCUGUUGAACAUCUGUAUCGAAAUAUAAAUAAGUAUCUUUUGAAGGAGGGUCUUCUAAUGAAUAAAUCUAACGUGAUUCACUAGCUCGAGCCACUGGAGUGCUAGGAUGGCAGAUGGAGAAGUCAUGCUGUGUAUAUGCAUAAAGUCAGAGGCCCAGCAGAUCCGUUCUCUGUUCAGGGUACCGUGCACUAUUUACCUGCAUUAUUUCAUGUAAUGUUGACAGUCAUUUGGGAGGGAAGCAUCUACAGAAUUUGCAAAUGAGAAAACUAGUUCUAAGGGACUGAGUGGCUCUGGAAAUUCACAUGACUUGUAAAUGGUGAUCUUAUUCCACAGCCUGAGGCUUCAUUCCAACUGCAGGACUUGAUUUCGUUUUUAAAGUAUUUCAGAGGGGUUGGGGAUUUAGCUCAGUGGUAGAGCGCUUGCCUAGCAAGCGCAAGGCCCUGGGUCCGGUCCCCAGCUCCAAAAAAAAGAAAAAAGAAAAAAUCAAAGUAUUUCAGAGAGAGAGAGAGAGAGAGAGAGAGAGAGAGAGAGAGAGUGUUAGGUCCAGGAGUUGGUUCAUUCUUUUUCCAUCUUGUGGGUCCUAGGGACUGAACUCGGGUUAUCAGCCUUGGCUGCUGGUUCCUUUAACAGCUGACCAUUUGUCCAGCGCCUGCAGAUGACAGUACUUUGAGGUUAAGCUAUGUUUGAAGGAGAUCAGAAUAAGUCUGCUAUGCUUUUGCUCAAGCUAUAACUAGAAUCUUGACUGUCCCCAUAAAGGACUUAGUGUUAAAGUCGUAGUCCCUAGUCUAUGACAGUGUUGGAAGGUGGAGGACUCUUUACAUGGUGGGACUUCCUACAAGUUAGGAAACGGAGGACAUGCCCUUGAAAGAGACCGUGGAGAUCCGGCCGCUUCUCUCUCUUUUUGCUUCUUAGGACUCCAGGGGGCUCAUGUUGCCCCAUAAUGUCCCACAUACAACGAUGCAAUUGCCUCACAGGGACACAGCAACAGUGGCAGUUGAUGGCAUGAACCAAAAUAAACCUCUGAUACUAUGAGCUAAAAUAAACCUUUUCUAUUUAUAAAUCGAGUAUUUCAGGUAUUUUGUUAUAGUUCUGCAAUGCUGACUAACAUGGUUUGCUGAUGUUCCAUUGCCAAUGCAAAUAAUCGCCUUUCUUAAUCUCAGUGAAACCCACAAACAUACGGGCAUUGCUUUUGCUUCUCCCACUGUAUUGCGUUUUACAUUAUAGUUGCAGGCUUACUCCAUUUCUAGCAAGAGAAUCCUUUCCUGAUAGGUGACCUGGGAGUAUCUAAGCUGAGGCCUAGGUUACAUACCCUUGUUUUCAGGCAUGUCUGGUGGCCAGCGAGGCAACAAGAUUCACCCAGAAAGCAUGAAGAAUUCUUUGCUCAAAUUUAGGUGGAGUAGAAUUCUUGGGCACUGUUCUUUUUUUCACAACACCCUAGAGCACAUGCCAUCCACUGCAGAGAUGAGGUAUUGAAACUACGGCAGGGGCCUUUGUGUGGCUCUCAGUGAUGGAGAGUUGUAGUGUCAUUCCUCAUUGCUAUACUUAACUGACGGCACGUCUGGGACAAGAGGUCAGCACGGCUCUGAACAGGCAGGCAGGGAAGGACAGGCGGUCCACCUCAAAUCUUCUGCGAGGCAUCAGUUGGUCUCUAAGGUGACAAGGAGGGAGGACCUAGAAGGGACCACAUGGAGGUGACAAGAAAAGAUGGUGCUCUUUGUUCACCGAGUGUCAUCUGUGUUCCCAUAUGCAGUUACACAGCCAGGAGUUCCUCAGGAGCUUAGGAGGACCCUGGGAGGCAUCUCAAGACUUCCAACACAUGACUGGGAUUGGGAUUUUAAGCCAGAUAAAUACUGUGAUUUUUCUACCAGUGCGCUUUUGAUGGGGAAACACAGACAAAUCUAAAUUUUGAAGGAAGAACCUCAUUUUUAGCUUUUGAAGAUUUGGAGGAGAAAUAUGCAAAGCCCAGUAAGGUUCUCUCCAACCUGAGCCUGGGGUGGGGCUUUCAAAGCCUUGGCUCUUCCAGAUCUCCUCAGAGGCAAUGUUCUUCCUCCCCAUGCCUGGAACAUUCAGUCAGAACUAACUACUUAGCCUAGGAAAGGAACAGAAAGAUCCUUUUAGCCGAGUUAUGAGUAAGCAGAUCUUUAGAAAUGUGCCCACUUCACUGUGAAGAAUGUGGCUAGAGAGGACCACAGUGACAUAGAAGAUCACAGGCAGACAGAAGUCCACGGAGGAGCUGUUAAUCUGAAAUCUACACGUGUACCUGAAUCCACACGUAUCAGUCAGCAUUUCUCUAAACCAAGCCAACCCAGAGAUAAAGAACUCAAAUGCAAGUUGGUUCUACCCAUCACAUGCUGUAGUACAGAGUAGCUACAUAUCAUAACCUACAUGCUGUGGUCCUCAGCAGAAGUAUCCACGGUGAUCACAUUUCUUGAUUUUCAAGUCAUUUCCUAUGUCUCUGCUUUAUGGCUUUUCAUGGCUCAUUUGGAGAGACUCGGGCUCCAGUGUGCUGUUAGCAACCCACUGUCUUGGGACUUACUUGAACUCUUGCUCUUUCUAGGGAUCAAAUACCUCACAGAGGCUCCGUGAGCCAGGCAUAAUAAAUGGAUACAGCACGAGUGAACAAAAGAGAAAGCCAGACCCCUGUUCUGUAUACUCUGGAGAACCCUGUAUACCCUGGAGCAAUGCAGAGUCUACACGUUCCUUAGUUUACUACUUCGAGGAUAUUUUGAAGAGUUUUUUUUUUUUUUUUUUUUACUUCAUAACCUCAAGGCCAAUGUUUCAGAAUUGAACUGCAACUGUGUUGUGCUGUAGCAAGAGAUUCAUGGAUAUUUCAGUUACUUCUUAGGCUGUUCAAUUUCCUGUUUCAUUGACCAUCCUUGUCUACCCAGGAACUGCAAGGUUUUUCUAGUAAUAGGAACUAAAACAGCAAGAAUACUUCCCCUUGAUCUUCGUUGAAGUCCCUCUGUCAGGAGACAUCACUGCCUUAGUCUGGCCGUCACCACAUAUGGCCUGGCCUAUAACAGUGGCUGUAUCUGGGUCUCCAAUCUCUCCUCCAAGCAGCUGCUCCAGGGAAAAUGAGAGCACAAGUCUGACCAUGUUCUUUUCCUGGCCACGUUGGUCCCUGCCCAGGCUUCUUGCUCAGUGAGACACACUCCUCCAGUUUGACAGUGAAGAUGUGUCACAGUUUUCAGAAUAAGCCAGGCAUCUAACAGCUAAUGGCUCUGUGGGGAGGCCCAAGAGAUAACCAGUGUUGACCAGAGAGCGGUAACUCAGAGGUUGUUGCAAAGUAUGUAUCCAUCCCCUCCCCAACCCCAUUCUUUCUCUUCCAUGUAAUUCCUUUGCCCCUUUGUCUCAACCUGUUCUCCCUCUACUUAGAUGGAUGAGUAUGUGGGGUUUAUGUCUCUUCCUGAGUUGCUCACUUGCUGCUGUACCCUGAGUUGAUUUCCUUAGCCCAUCUGGGUUACCUACACUGAAGACUUUCUGAUCUUGGAGGAGCAACCAGUCUACGGUUUCCAACAUGGCCCCUGGGGCUAGUCAUUUCUUCUUCAAUGGUGGUGGAUUGCCUGCACACUUCUUCAUAUUCCACUACUCUCAAAUACUCACUUGAAAGUGUUUGUUUUUUUGUCUUUUCCCCCCACACCCACCUCCUGAGACUUGCAUAUUGGUUCUCGGGAAAGUCUAUUCACAGUACCUCGGUGUCCUCGUCUCUCGGGCGGUCAUCGUAUGUAUUUGUGGCUGUGUUUUCCUACCUUCCUAUCCUAUGCAACAGAUGUUACAAGAUGGUAAGCAAGAGAUUCUUUAGAUGUACAUUUAAAAUUCCAUCUUCCACUUUUUCUAUCCUUUUGGAUUUUGAUGCUGUUUGUGUAGAGAAUAAGAAAGAAUUUAAAGAUAGUCAAAAUAAGACAUUUCUGUCUUACUUAGGAUUUCUAUUGCUGUGAUAAAGCACCAUGACCAAAAGUAACUUUGGGAGGAAAGGGUUUAUUUUAUCUUAUAUCUUGUAAUCUGUGAUACAAGGACAGGAAAUCAAGGCAGACACCUAGAUGCAGAACUGUUUACAGAAGCUGUGGCAGAGUGAUACUUGCUCCUCAUGGCUUGUUUUCAUAUACGCUCAAGGACCACCUGCCUUGGGGAAGCACCACCCAUCAAUUAUUAAUCAAGAAAAUACCCCACUGGCUUGCCAAUAGGUGAACCUGAUGGGAGAGUUUUUCUCAAUUGAGGUUCCCUCUUCUCAAAUGACUAGAUUGUGUCAAGUUGACAAAAGAACUGACCAGGAUAAUUUAUAAUAAUUUAAUAAACCAAGGGACAAUUGAAUUCUAAUCAUGGUCAAAUCAACCAUGACAUGAUUAUUAUAAGCCAUUUGGUAGAUUGCUACUUUUGCUUCUAAGGAAUCUCUUUCCUGUUGAAGCCAGGGAAUAAUUUAUUCAAAACAUGGAUUAAGGGUUUAUUACAUAUUUUCCACAGUAAAGAACAUAUUGCUUUACUAUCCGAGUUACAGAAAACUUGGCUCUCUCUGAAGAGUUUUUAAACACUUCAUUCCCCUCGUAAAGUAGAGAUAAAAUGUUAGCACAUCUGAGAUAAUUAUUGAAUGUGAGAUCAAGGACUGAAUAGCCCCAAGAUCACUCCCAGCUGAGAGUGACCCUCAUGUUAAACUGUCUUUUAAGACCAAGUAAGCUGACAUUUAUUAAACUCUUAUCAUAUUAAAUAUAUUACAAGUAUUAUUUUACUUAAUACUUAAGGAAAUUCCUGAAGUUGAGGUGUAUUUUCACAUUAUAAGCACGAAGAAGACAGUGACGCCCAGGGUGGUAGAAUCCAGGAAUGAGCAGCCAGAGUGAAAUGCAGAGAAUGGUUUUAAAUUCUGUUUGCUUCAUCUCUUGUCCACAGGACACUAGGCAGCAUGGGAUAUCCAUAUGAGGCAUCAACGCUGCAAAUGGAUGGUUGACAGAUAUGCCCCAACGUUGUUGGGGUUCACGACCCCCCCAAACCUGUACCACAUGGGAAGAUUGAUGCAAGAGACUAGAUUACCUUUCCCUCCAAAGGCAAAUUUACACAACCCGUAUAUGAUAGCUUCAGGUCUUAGCAACAGGAAAUACUAUUGGUUGCUGUGUCUUGGGAAGAGGGGAGCAGAGAAGGACAGGCCUUGGAUGACCCUUGAGAGAGUCUUUCUGGAACUUCUCAUCUUGAAAACGGCCCCGUAUCUCAGGGGAAAAUAAUUACUAUUUCCGCUCUGGAUCUAUCAACUUUCCUGAAUGCAAAGUUCAGCUUCUAAAUUAUCCUUGAAUUUAGGACUUUAUAGACUCUGGGAAGACAUCUCAGCAACAUUUAGUACAGGAAGCAGGGCUCAGACUAUAUUUUUGCUGCUGGACAGUCAAUGUUGAUUGUCUGGUUUCUAAGACAUUCAGCGAUCAUGGGCAAAGAAUUCUAUCACCUACAAGGGCAAAGUUAUUCUGAGAAAGCUAUGGAAAUCCAAGGCAGAACAAAACAACUUUUCCCCCUAAGGAGAUCUGAACUUAGGUUUUGAUGAAAAUAAGGCCUUUCCAGUGACAUCAUUGUUUGUCUCUUCAUGCUAUCUCUUUUGGAGAUAGUUCCGGGUUUAUCCCCAGCCAAAACUAACAGCUGGACCUCUUUUCAGAAUGUAAAAAGCCGUGCUUUUAUUUAGUCUUGAGAAAUCUCCCGUUAAGGGUGUUUCAUGGGGACUUUGUUGAGCAUCCGGCCUAGAGUAGGAAAACAAAUCCAGGAUGACUUUCUAGAUAAUCUGCCAUCAAAGGGUCGAAGUUCACAUCCCUGAGACAGGACAUUGGUCCAUUGGCUGUUUCGCUUAGAACUCCCUUAAGCGAGGCUCUGCAUUCAAUAACUGGUUAAUUGCUUUUCACCUUUCUUCCUGUCAAUAAGUAAAUGGUAGGCAGUGGAGCCCAUGCAGCCGAGCUCAUGCUCCUUGACACAAAGUUAUUAAAGUGAGCAACUUCUUCUGAGCACCUAAUAUGUGGAAGCCUCUAUUCUGGACGACACAGUAAAUGUCAGAUGUUUGAAAUGAUCUGCUUUUCCAGAUGAGUUUGAGGAGAUGCAAGCAUGUACAAACAUCUAAGCAACCUUCAGCAAACCUUUAACUGAAGGAUCCACUAGAAGGGCUGGGGUAGCUAUAUAAUUUAGUGGAGUGCUUUCCUCACAUGCACAAGGCCAUGUAUUGAUCCUCACCACUGCAUAAGCCAGGCAUGGUGACGGCUGUGAUCUCAACAUUUGGGAGAUGGACACAGGAGGGUCAGAAACUCAAAGUCUUCUUCAACUAAAGAGCUAUUUCUAGGAUAGCCUGGGCUAUAUGAGACUCUGUCUCAUUAAAACAGUAGUAACAAGAUCUCUGUAAAAGCAAAUUUAAAGAAAACCAUUGUAAGGAAGUCAGGAGGUAGAAUAUUAGAUGAAAGGAAUUUGAAUUGUAUGCAAAAUUAUUGGCAAUAAUUCCCUAUCUAGAUUUGAGGAUCCAAGAAUAAGCAUGAUUAAUUUAUACAUGUGAUUGGGACAAGGACCCCAUUUACUAUAGCCACUGUGUGUAAACUCAUUGUAUCCAAAACUCACGAUGAAAUUUUAUCCCAAUGUGAGGUGCUGAGAGCCUUACAUCAGUAACAACCAAGUGGGACUUUUAAGACAUGAUUAGAUUAUGAAGGUUUUGCUCUCAAGAAUGGAUUAUUUGUUCAGAAGUUUAUAGAUAUAUACAUGUAUAAAACAAAUGGGUUUACUUGAGUAUGAGUGUUAUAAAAUUGAAUUUUGCUCUAUUGCUUGUAUGUGUCCUUCUUAAACAGUGUCCUGUACCAUCAGUACCUACACAGUCCUGAGUAGAAAGGAAACCAUCACUGAUAAAGCUCCUAGACCCUAGUGUCCCAGUCUCUAGAACCAUGAGCUGAAUAAGACUUUGUCCUUUAUAAAUCACCUAGUCUGUGGCAUUGAGCUAUAAAAACAGAACAUAGACUAAGACACAUUCAUUGUCUAUGAGUGCUGCUGUCUGGAUGUUUCAGCUCUACUAUAAUAGACCCAGGACAGAUUCUACUGUACAUUGAGCCUCAUUGACAAAGAGAUCCUUCUUGCCCCCUUUCCUCCCAUCUUUCUGCUGCAUAGAAAUGAAUUAAAUAGGGAUUCUAAGGAGGCUGGCAUGUCCUUGGACCUGCUAAAAGACGGAUUUAUAAGGAGAUUGAGAGAUUGCUAUUGGUCUUAGAAAGAUACUGGCCACUAGUCCACUGUGACCCACCCCCCUGGAUCCCCUUUUUUUGUGGAGUCCUGUGCUCAAACUCUGUCUCCUUCUCUACCACUUGGGCCCUGUUAUGCUCAGUGUGGCUUCCCUGAGAUGUAAGAGGUCCAGCCAGUGGAUCCAGACAAAAUAAUGUCCUUGGCAGAGAUGCCAGUCGGAGUUUUGGAAAACAGAGGAAGUCUAGCAGAUAACUCACUUCCUCUGAAGGAACUGGGGGAAUUUUUAUUGACCACAGAGAAUUGUUGGCACCAGCAGGGGAUGGAAAUCAGACCUGGGUUUCCACUUGACUGUAUAUCCUGGCAGACUUGAUAGGGAACCACACCAGGCAGGGUGACUAAAGGGAGCAGCGGCCUGUGAGGUCCCCCUCUCUAUAGAGUUUCUAGAAAGCCAGCUGAGCCCUUGAGAAGAGAGUCGAGCCACACAUAUAGGGAACUAUGGACUCCACAUCAGAAAGGCCUGCUUUAGAUGAGGGAUGAACACAUGCUGACCAACAGUUCAACCAGCACCAUUUGUUGAAAAUGCUGGGGGUUUUUCCUACUGGAUGGUUUUAGCUCCUUUGUCAAAGAUCAAGUGAUCAUAGGUGUGUGGGUUCAUUUCUGGGUCUUCAAUUCUAUUCACUGGUCUACUUGUCUGUCUCUGUACCAAUACUAUACAGGUGUUUGUUUGUUUGUUUGUUUGUUUGUUUGUUUGUUUUAUCACUAUUGCUCUGUAAUACAUCUUGAGGUCAGGGAUAGUGAUUCCCCCAGAAGUUCUUUUUAUUGUUGAGAAUAGUUUUUGCUAUACUGGGUUUUUUGUUAUUCCAAAUGAAUUUGCAAAUGUUCAUUCCAACUCUAUGAAGAAUUGAGUUGGGAUUUUGAUGGUGAUUGCAUUGAAUCUGUAGAUUGCUUUUGGCAAGAUGGCCAUUUUUACAAUAUUAAUCUGCUAAUCCAUGAGCAUGUGAGGUCUAUCCAUCUUCUGAGAGAUCUUCAAUUUCUUCCUUCAGAGAUUUGAAGUUCUUGCCAUACAGAUCUUUUACUUGUUUGGUUAGAGUCACACCAAGAUAUUUUAUUUGGGACUAUUGUAAAGGGAGUCAUUUCCCUAAUUUCUUUCUCAGCCUGUUUAUCCUUUGAGUAGAGGAAGGCUACUGAUUUGUUUGAGCUAAUUUUAUUUCCAGCCACUUUGCUGAAGUUGUUUAUCAGCUGUAGGAUUUCCCUGGUGGAAUUUUGGGGGUUACUUAAGUAUACUAUCAUACUAUCAUCUGCAAAUAGUGACUCAGAAUAUUGGACACAGUACUACCUGAGGAUGCAACUAUGCCACUCCUGAGCAUAUACCCAAAAGAUUCUCCAACAUAUAACCAGGACACAUGCUCCACCAUGUUCAUAACAGUCUUAUUUAUAAUAGCCAGAACCUGGAAAGAACCCAGAUGCCCUUCAACAGAGGAAUACACAUUCUCUGUAUCCAUUUACACAAUGGAGUACUACUCAGCUAUUAAAAACAAUGACUUCAUGAAAUUCAUAGGCAAAUGGGUGGAACUUGAAAAUAUCAUCCUGAAUGAGGUAACCCAAUCACAAAAGAACACACAUGGUAUGCACUCACUGAUAAGUGGAUAUUAGCCCAAAAGCUUGGAAUACCCAAGAUGCAAUUCACCGACCACAUGAAGCUUAAGCAGAAGGAAGACCAAUGUGUGAAUGCUUCAGUCUUUCUUAGAAGGGGGAACAUAUUCAUAGGAGGAAACACGGAGACAAAAUAUGGAGCAGAGACAAAGGCAAAGGCCAUCCAGACUGUCCCUCCUGGGGAUCCAUCCCAUAUGCAGAUACCCAGACACUACUGUGGAUGCUAAGAAGUGCUUGCUGACAGUGAUAUAGCUGUCUCCUGAGUUGCUCUGCCAGAGUCUGACAAACACAGAGAGGGAUGCUCACAGCCAACCAUUGGACUGAGCAUAGGGUCCCCAAUGGAAGAGUAAGAGAAAGGACUGAAGGAGCUGAAGGGAUUUGCAGCCCCAUAGGAAGAACAAUAUCAACCAGAGCUCCCAGAGCUCCCAGGGACUAAACCACCAACCAAAGAGUACACAUGGAGGAACCCAUGGCUCUAGCUCCUUAUGUAGCAGAGGCUGGCCUUGUCAUCAAUGGGAAGAGAGGCCCUUGUUCCUGUGAAGGCUUGAUGCCCCAGGGUAGGAAAAUGCCAGAGUGGGGAGGCAGGAGUAGGUAGGUGGUUAGGGAGCACCCUCAUAGAAGCAGGGGGAGGGAGCAUGAGAUAAGGGGUUUCUAGAGUGGAAACCUGGAAAGGGGCUAAUAUUUGAAAUGUAAAAAAUAAAAUAUCUACUAAAAAUUAUGGGGCUGGGGAUUUAGCUCAGUGGUAGAGCACUUACCUAGGAAGCGCAAGGCCCUGGGUUCGGUCCCCAGCUCCGAUAAAAAGAACCAAAAAAAAAAAUUAAAAAUACAUUGUAUGAAAUUCUCAAAGAGCAAUAAAAAUAUUGCUUUUUGAAAAAGAAAAUACAGGUUAUAUUCAUCUAGACCCUAGGUAUAUUGGCAAUAUUCCUCCCAAAAUAGUAGUGUUUGAUACCAGAAUCAUACAGUUUGUUAGACAGGAAAAGAUUCCUGGUCUCCAUCAUAGACCAGGUGAGCCUGAGUAGUGGAGGAGCCUAAGAAUUUGCAUAGUUUACCAAAUGUGCCUUCGUGAGCCAUCUUGCCAUAAGUUGUAAUCAGAGGGACCAAAAAGCUUGUGCUUCACCUUGCAAGGGGUUGGCGACUUUAUAGAGGACUUCAAUAUAACUCAAGAUGUUCAAAACCAUACUGAGGUCCAGAAAAGGAGACACUUAGAUGGUUUAGAAACUCCAGUAGAAUCUCAUACAAGAUGCUGACCUUCCCAAGCAGGAUAGAAUUGGAUAAUUGGUAAAAAUGGAACCACGGUUUGUCUGGAGUUGUGGAUAAGACUUUGCAAAGGGAAUAGACUCCAGGAACCAGUUAUACAUGGGACGGAGUGGUUGUCCUCUGAUUUUACCCCUGUCCCAGUUGAAUCCAGUCCUCUGAUCCUAUUUGAACUGAAGGUUGAAUACUUUGUGACAUUGGGACUUUGGCCAAGUUACUUAGUACCUCUUCGGAGCCCAAUAGUGAGUAGAGUAAUAAUAACUCACCCACCAUGGGUACUGCAAUCACUGAGAGAUGUGCUGCCUGACUUCUGAGCACCUAGAACCUUCCUAGUGAUCCUCUGGAGACGACCACCUUCACCAUGAAAAACGCCCUUUCGAUUGGAAUAUGCAUUUAACUGCACAGGGUAGGACAGCAUUUUCCGAGGCCCUACCUGUGCAAAGGCUCAGAGCGAAGGAGACCCUGAGCUGUCACAGAGCUUAACAACCUGUGAGAAGAGACUCAUUUAUGCAUAGUUCACCCAUCCAAAGCACUAUGUGGAGGUAAGGGACAGUGCACAAUCCAAAAUGGCCACUCUGUGCGGUCAAGGGAAAAGUUUCUCCCAAACUGCCAGGGAUGCCUUUCCAGACAGCAGAGAGGAGAGGGGGACAAAUCUGCAGGGCUCUAAGGGAAUAGGAACUUGGGAGGCAGUGAGCGGAAAUCAAGCCUUGAAGUUUAUAACAAAUACUUGGAGUAGAGAUUGAGAGAGCUAGAGGCUAUCUAGAACCCUAAUAUAUAUCUGCAUAUAUAUGUAGAUAGGCACUACAAACAUGUGUUAGUAGAGAACCUAUAUCCCUCUUGCUAGAGAUAAGGAGAAUUAUUACUUUUGACAAGUGAGAACCGGUUUUACAAUUCCUAGGGAAUACUGGCUUUUGUCUAACUGCUAGAAUUCAGGAAAAGGGAAUUUCCUCUGGACUUGACAUGGUCAGUGAGGCAGGUAUCUGUCUAGCAGUGCACGCAAUCAUACAACCCUUUCUGUUUUGCAUUCACAGUUGGAAUCCCAUCUGAAUCUGAUAACAGCCCACUGCAAAGGGGGCUGUACUUAGUCAACAGGUUCUCCCUGUAGCUGUCUGUAGAGUAUUCUUUGGAGCUCCUUGGCUGCCAGUGAGGGUAAGAAGUGGAAGGAUUUAAGAGCAUCUAUUCCAGCUUGUACACAUCUUCUCCAGUUAGAAUUAAGCAGGUAUUUAGCAGUUUGUGCCAGAUGGUCGGUCCCUUACAGAGAUGGCAGAUUUUCCGAGUCCAGCCAGAACCUGCAGUCUUCUUUCCCUUUCAAAAUGGAGUCUCCUGAGUUAAUACACAGCCCGAGAAACUAGAUUUAUAGACUAUGGAGUCAUAGAGUACAGCAUACAUAGCCUGCUCUCAACAGAGUCUCCCACUAAACCCGAUGCUCACUGGUUGGACAGUCUGUCUGGUUGGUGUCCUUUGGGUAACAUUCCUCCAUGACACCCCUUGGCCCCAGACCUAGGGUUACAGAUGUGUGCCACCACACCCAGCUUCAUCGCUUAUGUGCAUUUGGGAUAUAAACUUAGGGGCCCAAUCUGGAGAGGCAGGUGCUUUCUCUAAUCAUCUCCUCUGAUACUGAAAUUUGCAAUUUUAAAGCAGCCCCAAACUGAUCUUAUAAUAAUUCAUUUCUGAUCUUUGAGUUCAGAGCACCCUUUCCCUCUUUACUAGUAGACAUAAACACAACUUGUGUUUCCUAAAUUCUCGAAAGGUAUUUGUGUUGACCUGGGGUGGGCAUUUGGUACAGAAUAUCACCACCACAGUGCCUAUGGCAGGCGUAAUUCUUCAUUAUUGUUGAUCACAAUAUAGUGUUAUCCCAAGUACAAGAAGGACUUUUGCAUCCCUUAUCUCAGAAAUCUUAGUCCUGGAAUGUGAAGUAGAUUCAAGUCUGGGCAAUCCAGAGAGUGGCUCCUUGAUUUGAAUGAGACAGAGCCUGCAGGGUUGAGUCUAAGGUCUCGACCUUUGGGUCUAAGGUCAGCAGUUACUGUUUCCUUUUGGCUAUGUCAGGUCCAAAUAAACCUGGAACAAGUCUCACUCAGUACCUGUGGCUCCUCCCACAUUUCUCACCCCGCCCUCUACCCUAAACCACUCCCUCCCAGGGGUGGAGUUCAGCUUCUCUUCCCCCAGCUUCUCUUUCCUAUAUAAACUCCACCAUUUUGGCUACUUGCCUUCUUGGUUCCCAUUCGUUCUCAUGGCCUCUUGGCUCCUGGUUCCCUCUUGCCCUGUCUCCUCUCUUUCCCUAUCAUGCCUCCCCAUCCCCAUGGCCUGGUUCAGUCUACUGGCCUGCCUCAGUCUGGACUGUUCCAGAUGUCUCUGACUGUUCUCUUCCUCGUAUCGACAAUAAACCUCCUCAACCAUACUUCAUUAUUUUUUCCCCAUCCAGACUGUGCCCCUGACCCUAGGGGUCUCCAAUUUUAGGCUAUCCACCAUUCCCUGCCUGCCCUGUAAGACCCCCUGGUCCUCUCUGGAGUUCAUCAUGGGCAAAAUGUUGGUUUAGACUUCAUCUUGAAAACGCCAGCUUUGUGGUAAAAAGUGGAAAUAAAAGAAAAUGUAUCCAGUCAAAAACACUAGAAAAUAAACCACCUUUCUGUGGCACCUACUAGGCUCUCUGCCAAGUUUCGGUCUCUGUCUGAGUCUUCUGCCCUGGGUCUAGCACAUUUCCUGUGAUUCUCUUUCUUUGCUAUUUGUCUUGUUUAUUAAGGUGACCUUGUCACACUGGUCUGGGUAGGCCAGUCAACUGCCAACUCUUUUAGAAAUUGAAAAUAACUUCAACAAUGGAUGAAGUGGGAUGCAGAGUAAAUGCUAUGGUGCUCAGCCCAGACCUCCUUGGUUGGAAAGACACUCAUAUCCCCAGUAUUGGAAAUUACGGGAGAUGAAGUGCUGGUCUGGGUCUCCCUAGGAAUAGCCCUUGGCUAAUGACCUCUCCUUUUCUCAAAGACAUGCCCUGCCUCCGGACAGCCAAUGAUUGUUGUAAGUGCAAAGUGGUGGGUGGGAAACUUAAAUCAUGACCUGUUUGGAAUCCAUUGUAGUCUCUGCUGCUACAGCUCAUUCCCUAGAUUGACCCGGAUUUCCUCACCUCCUUACUGGUAUUUCCUAGUGAGCCUCCUGUGUGCCAGCUUUUGAGACUGUCUCCCAGGCUCUAUCUGGUCAAUGGCAGGGAUGGCCCACUCAAGGGUUUAUGAACUCUGCACAUACACUUGGCUGUCCACUAGAAAUUCUCAACAAUGUUUGAACACUGGCUCCCACAUUCUCAUCUUACUCUGGGCCCUCCAAUGAUGGCCCUAGUCCUAGUGACAGCACUCGGGAUAAAACUCACCUGGAACAUCUCAGGCAGGAAAGAGUUGCUAUCCCUUGCAUCCCGCAGGAAUGAGCACGCUGAUUCAACAGCCGUCUAUCAGUCAGAGGAAGGCCCAGAACUUUCUAUCCACCCCUGACUGACUGAGCCAGAUGCUGGCUCUGCAGCAGGGGCUUAGCUGGGUGGCUCAGUCCUCCCGACUUCCUGACUUCUGGCCUAAGGAACACCCAGCCACAGCCCUGCUUAGUUUAAGAAGUUUUCCAGGGUGGCUCAUUCGGGAGCACACGGUCCUCCCACCUCCCUUCCCCCAGCAGUCACACUCAGAGGCCACACUGAACCGGAUACCAGCUUUCACUUGUUAACAUUCAAAAUGAAACAAUGCUUGCCUGCCAGAUAAUUAGGCACAUGACAUUUUGAUGCGGUCUUCUUGGUACAGCCACUUUAACAAUAGAACAUUUUGUCAUGGAAAGUUAAGUUUGGCAAUAAAACUUUCAGUGUGUGGGGGUGGUGGUGUCUUGAUAAAACACAAAACUAAAGAUUCAUCACAUUUUUCCCUAAGCAUUUGACAAAGCAAUGAGGAAACACGUGCAUGGUUUACACUAAACCACGCUCAAUCAAUACCGUCCCCAUCCUCCGAUCUGUUUUUGUUCUCAACCUCAAUUCUUUCUCAGUAAGGUAUGUUUUUUAUUAAAUAUUGAGCAUUUCAAUGAUGCAUACAGUGAAUGUAUUUUAAUAUUUACCUUUGUUUCUCCACAUAACUCCUCCCAGAUCCAGUCCCCAAGACCCCUUCAAACUUUAUGACCCCUUCCCCCCCAUAACUCACUGACUUUUGUUGCCUAUCUACUCAUAGGCAACUUCCCUUUCUGCAGCAGUUACACUCAGAGUCUACCCUGAACUGGAUGAGAUGUGUGGAUGUGCAGUCCCUGAGUAAAGCGUGGUUGGCCUACCAGGAGCCACACUCUUAAAAAAAAAAAAAAACCAAUUCAAUUCUCCCUACCUUAGUAGCUGUCAACUGUUCAUGGUUCCUUAGCUGGGGGUGGGGGCUAGAGAGUCCCUGCCCUCUCCCAUGUCCAACGACAGUUCUGACUUGUAGGCUUAUAUCAUGUGUCAAUAAGCUGUCGGUUACGUGACGAAAUACUUGAUAAAGUCAAACUAUAGAGAGGAAAAUUUUAUCUUGGUUCAUGGUUUCAGAGGUUUCCAGUCAUCAUCCAUUGGCCCCACUGCUUUUGGAUUUGUGCUGAGGCAGCAUAGCAUAAGGAACACACGGUAGAAGAAAGGAUUCCCCUAAUGGCCAUGGGAAACCAAGAGAGAAGAGGUGGCUAGGGUCUUAAUGUCUCUUGCAAGAGCAUGUAUACAAUGAUUUAACUCCCUCUUAAUAAGAAACACCUCCUACAAGUUCUCCCACCUCCUGGCAGUACCAAGGGAUGGGAAGAAGCCUUCGAGAUGUGGCCUUUGGAGGAGAUUUAAGACCCAGAUGACGCUGCAUCCAAAAUUGCAUUAAAAAAAUAACCUGCUGCUUGCUUAUAACUAAGGGAAAUAAAUGUAAAUAGACAGUGGUGUGUAUUUUCAAUUGGUAGAAAUAAUCGCAAACAUAAACACCCUACAACUAUUAACUCAGCCUUCACAGAGGCACAGAGAGGCUAAGUGAACGUGACUUUAUUACACAAAUACACGGGCUCCAAAUCAAUCAGUCCCUGUUCCUUUUUAACCACUACACCAUCUGUCCUUGUGUCCUGACUGAAUACACUAUGGGUACAUUACAAAUUAUCUUAAGCCUACAGUUGAAGAUAGACUAAUGAAAAGAAAUAGCCAACUAUACUCAUUGAUCAAAGGUCCUCACCAACAUAUUCAACUGUAAUCCAGUGUGGAAGAGUGGAUGUGUGGCAUUCAGAAAUAAGUAUUUAUUCUACCUGGAAAAUAAUCUGAGCAGAACAUCUAAGAGAAAGAACCAUCAUAGAAGUACUUGCCUAUCUGAGAACUGAGGCGAGAAUUCUGAGAAUUUUGAACCUGAAAAAAAGAACAUAAAACAGAACCAUUGGCACAUUUCAAAGUUCAGUUUCUCAUGGGUUUCUUAUGGUUAAUCACAAAUAAGAUAUCAUCUAUAAAUCUCUUCUACAAUUGAAUAAGUGUUCGCGUCAGAAUUCACUUCCACCAAAUGUCCCUUGAGUUGGAAGAGUGGGUUUUCAGAUAUUUCACUAGUGCUGGAUUUCUUGAAGGAAACUUUCUAAUAAUAUAGACCUCUCCAGAUAAUAUCAACAUUAGGGUUGAGAGGAGGGUGGGUAGACUAGCUUCAGUGACAGGUGGUAAGACAGGGAGAGAUGGAAAAUUAAUAAAACAACGUGAUCUCUAACAGACUUCAAUACAAAUAACAGUUAAAGAGGAAAUGUGUUAACUUUAAUAAUCUAAAAAUGGCCUGUGAUUUUGCCCUUUCUAAAGGGUCACAAGCUGGUCAAACUCAGUUCUUAGGAGAAGAUGGAGACCCCUGUGUUCAAGACAGUGAUGUUGUCCCCUAUCACAGCAUAGCAUGUAGCCCAAGCUUCAUAUUCCCACCUAUCUCCAUUGCUCCUCAAGUCUCACAGGUGUGGUGACUUUCCCAGUAGAUGCUGUGCAUAGAGCUGUGUUUGCCACACAGCUGAGAGAUACCAAGGUUCAGAAACUCAAAUAUUUUUAAUAAGCAGCUGGCAGACUUGCCUACCUUUGUCCUAGGGGGAAGCAUUAUCUUAUUAGCAUUAUCUUAUUAUCUCUGUUAGGGAGAGCCUUGGCUUCCAAGGCUAUUUGCUCUACAAACAUCUUUGCAAUGAUGUGCUAGGUCAGAGUCCUCCAGUGCACAUGUCUACAGGAUAUGCAGAAAAAAACUUGAAAGGAUCAUGAAAAACUCUUUCCAAGCCAAGAACCUCAGAGCUUUCCUUAGUGAGCCAAAAAUACUUAACAUAUCGUAGGUCCAGAAUAAAUACUGGAUAAUUCUCUACCCUGUGAUGCUCCCAUAAUGGAAACAGCGGAGGAGAGAAAGAAAUGCCACUGGGGUCCCUUUUACCAAAUCUGGCAUGGUGAUUCUGUUGUGAGGGGAUAGAGGCAGGUCCUUAGAAAUGAUCUGCCCAAAUGAAGAGCAUUUUGGUUCCUUCCAUAGAGAGACUUCAAGUGCUGGCAGUGAAGGCAUCAAAGACUGCCUCCAGAGGCCAUUCUGUUAAAAUGUCUAGAAAGGGUAAUGCGAGAACUGUGGACUUUGUAAGAGUCACUGGGAGCAAAGAGAAUGUAGAGUGUGGUUCUUUUGGGGAGGGACCUACUGCUUGUCCUUAGGGACUGGUUCUGUCUCCCUAGGGCCUUCCCCAGGGUCCAUGCCCUAAGAGUACAUGUUGACGAUAGUGAGGAAGAAGGAAAGAAACAGAGGCAGCCUCAGAUGCUUCUGGGGUGACAGCAGGGAUGGGAAGCCAGAAUGGCACCGAUGUAAAAUGAGUCAGCUAGGAGGUGAGGAAAGCUGUUUCAUUGUCUUCCUGUUCGCUUCCUUUCCAUUGUAGAUGAUGGGUGAGCUGAUGCUCAGUUAAUAGGCUGGUUAUAUAUGCAUGAAUUUCUUGCUGAUCAUCAAGCCUCCUGCCCCAGAACCAGCUAUUUGUCCCAUUAAGCCUGUUCUUGGAACCCCUGUAGAGAGUCUCCAUAGAAUUCAAUGUGAGAUGUGCUUUCUACACGAUUCUGAAGAAAUUCCCAAGAUCCUCACUUAAUUUUAUUAAAAUAAAAUGGUCUGGGGGCUGGAGAGAUGGCUCAGCUAUUAAAAGCACUGGCUGCUCUUCCAGAGGUCCUGAGUUCAAUUCCAAGCAACCACAUGGCAGCUCACAACCAUCUGUAAUGGGAUCUGAUGCCCUCUUUUGGCAUGCAGGUGUACAUGCAGAUAGAACACUCACAUACAUGAAAUAAAAAUAAAAAUGAAUCUGUCAUUAAAAAAAAACAAA